RNAcentral lists this ribosomal RNA (454 nucleotides) under uncultured bacterium. Its description in RNAcentral is "bacterial SSU rRNA". It matches the Rfam family "Bacterial small subunit ribosomal RNA", at positions 340 to 786 of the family's 1533-position model. The record is from RNAcentral.
UACGGAAGGCAGCAGUGGGGAAUAUUGCACAAUGGGCGCAAGCCUGAUGCAGCCAUGCCGCGUGUAUGAAAAAGGCCUUCGGGUUGUAAAGUACUUUCAGUCGUGAGGAAGGUGUUAAGGUUAAUAACCUUAGCAAUUGACGUUAGCGACAGAAGAAGCACCGGCUAACUCCGUGCCAGCAGCCGCGGUAAUACGGAGGGUGCGAGCGUUAAUCGGAAUUACUGGGCGUAAAGGGCACGCAGGCGGUUAAUUAAGUUGGAUGUGAAAUCCCCGGGCUUAACCUGGGAAUGGCAUUCAAGACUGGUUAGCUAGAGUCUUGUAGAGGGGGUAGAAUUCCAUGUGUAGCGGUGAAAUGCGUAGAGAUGUGGAGGAAUACCGGUGGCGAAGGCGGCCCCUGGACAAAGACUGGACGCUCAUGUGCGAAAGCGUGGGGAGCAAACAGGGAUUAGAUACC